Small nuclear RNA from Dermacentor andersoni, 186 nucleotides. RefSeq annotates it as U2 spliceosomal RNA. Lineage: Eukaryota; Metazoa; Arthropoda; Arachnida; Ixodida; Ixodidae. The record is from RefSeq and is a predicted model, not a curated record.
AUAUAUAUAUAUAUAUAUAUAUAUAUAUAAUAGGGUGUUUCUCUUAGAGCGCCGACUUUAGUGGGUCUAUUUGGAUCCAACGUUGUUAAACUUAUUUUUGGGAGUUGGAGGAGUGCUUGAAGCCUGCUUCACCUCCGUCGCGGGUCGGCCCUGUAUUGCACAAUUGCCGGGAUCGGCCCACGCAUU